UAAGCGGAGGAAAAGAAACUAACAAGGAUUCCCCUAGUAACUGCGAGUGAAGCGGGAAAAGCUCAAAUUUAAAAUCUGGUGGCCUUUGUCCAUCCGAGUUGUAAUUUAGAGAAGCGUCUUCCGCGCUGGACCGUGCACAAGUCUCCUGGAACGGAGCGUCAUAGAGGGUGAGAAUCCCGUCUUUGGCAUGGAAUCCCAGGGCUUCUGUGAUGCGCUCUCGACGAGUCGAGUUGUUUGGGAAUGCAGCUCAAAAUGGGUGGUGAACUCCAUCUAAAGCUAAAUAUUGGCGAGAGACCGAUAGCGAACAAGUACCGUGAGGGAAAGAUGAAAAGCACUUUGGAAAGAGAGUGAAACAGUACGUGAAAUUGUUGAAAGGGAAACGCUUGAAGUCAGUCGCGUCGACCGAGACUCAGCCUUGCCUCGGCUUGGUGUACUUCUUGGCUGACGGGUCAGCAUCAAUUUUGCCCCUUGGAUAAUGGCGAGGGAAAUGUGACACCUUUACGGGUGUGUUAUAGUCUCCUGUCGCAUGCGAGGGGUGGGAUUGAGGAACUCAGCGCGCACCUUGGUGUCGGGGCAUCUGCCCACGUCACGCGCUUAGGAUGCUGGCGUAAUGGCUUUAAACGACC
RNAcentral lists this ribosomal RNA (626 nucleotides) under uncultured Russulaceae. Its description in RNAcentral is "LSU rRNA". It matches the Rfam family "Eukaryotic large subunit ribosomal RNA", at positions 47 to 649 of the family's 3401-position model. Lineage: Eukaryota; Fungi; Basidiomycota; Agaricomycetes; Russulales; Russulaceae. The record is from RNAcentral.